CAGCAGCCGCGGGAAUACGUAGGUGGCAAGCGUUAAUCGGAAUUAUUGGGCGUAAAGCGCGCGCAGGCGGCCUAUCCAGUCUGUCUUAAAAGUUCGGGGCUCAACCCCGUGAUGGGAUGGAAACUAGUAGGCUAGAGUAUCGGAGAGGAAAGCGGAAUUCCUAGUGUAGCGGUGAAAUGCGUAGAUAUUAGGAAGAACACCAGUGGCGAAGGCGGCUUUCUGGACGAAAACUGACGCUGAGGCGCGAAAGCUAGGGGAGCGAACGGGAUCAGAUACCCCGGUAGUCCCUGUCUCUUAUACC
RNAcentral lists this ribosomal RNA (301 nucleotides) under uncultured bacterium. Its description in RNAcentral is "partial 16S ribosomal RNA". It matches the Rfam family "Bacterial small subunit ribosomal RNA", at positions 509 to 808 of the family's 1533-position model. The record is from RNAcentral.